Molecule: unclassified non-coding RNA, 796 nt
Filed under: Biostraticola tofi
Lineage: Bacteria; Pseudomonadati; Pseudomonadota; Gammaproteobacteria; Enterobacterales; Bruguierivoracaceae
Description: 16S-23S ribosomal RNA intergenic spacer
Rfam family: tRNA (bases 321-393)
Source: RNAcentral
CCACAACGAUACGCAUUGUGACGUGUCCACACAGAUUGUCUGAUAACUGUAAGAGCAAGAAAAACCUUCAAUAGGCUUGUAGCUCAGGUGGUUAGAGCGCACCCCUGAUAAGGGUGAGGUCGGUGGUUCAAGUCCACUCAGGCCUACCAUUCCUUCCCAUGCUGCGUUGCGGCACCGCUCGUUUAUCCCGAUAAACGUCGCGCACCCACGCCUGGCCUGGAAACGAAUGGUUGACCCGCUGUGUAUUGCCGUCUUCUCCUGUCCACGACAGGGCAGCCUGCGACCGCCAUCAGCCGGGACAAACAAAGGUUAACGACUUUGGGGCUAUAGCUCAGCUGGGAGAGCGCCUGCUUUGCACGCAGGAGGUCAGCGGUUCGAUCCCGCUUAGCUCCACCAUUCCCUGCCCGGGUCUGGUAGAGAUUGUCUGGUUUUUCUUGAUACCCCCAUUUCAGAGCAUACUCUCGCGAGUGUGCUGCGAAAUACCGCUCUUUAACAAUCCGGAACAAGCUGAAAAUUUGAAAUAGAAACAUGCUGAGCAAAAUCAGUAUGCGAGUCUCUCAAACGAAUAAAGCAAACCUAAAUGACCGUCCCUGUCGAGGGGCCUGGUCACUGUCGCCCCGGCCGAUGCCUGUUUACAGACAUCACCGAGGCAGACUGAGCGAACGGCUGAAAGCCAAGGCGCCCAGCACGGAGAAACCGCAGUGGACUGUACGUCCAUGAGGAUUUCGAGUACUGCGUAACGCGGGAUUUCAGGCGUGCAGCCAGUCGGUAAUAGACAGACACUUUAGGGUUGUGA